Molecule: ribosomal RNA, 253 nt
Filed under: uncultured bacterium
Lineage: Bacteria
Description: partial 16S ribosomal RNA
Rfam family: Bacterial small subunit ribosomal RNA
Source: RNAcentral
UACGUAGGGUGCGAGCGUUGUCCGGAAUUAUUGGGCGUAAAGGGCUCGUAGGCGGUUUGUCGCGUCGGGAGUGAAAACGCCGGGCUUAACUCGGUGCUUGCUUUCGAUACGGGCAGACUAGAGGCAUGCAGGGGAGAACGGAAUUCCUGGUGUAGCGGUGAAAUGCGCAGAUAUCAGGAGGAACACCGGUGGCGAAGGCGGUUCUCUGGGCAUGUCCUGACGCUGAGGAGCGAAAGUGUGGGGAGCAAACAGG